Molecule: ribosomal RNA, 380 nt
Filed under: uncultured eukaryote
Lineage: Eukaryota
Description: partial 18S ribosomal RNA
Rfam family: Eukaryotic small subunit ribosomal RNA
Source: RNAcentral
CAAUAGCGUAUAUUAAAGUUGUUGCAGUUAAAAAGCUCGUAGUUGGAUUUCUGGUUGAAGCGACCGGUCGGGCGUUGAUUCGUCUGCACUGGAGUCGGUUUUGGCCAUCCUCUAGGAAAGUGCGUCUGGUAUUAAGUUAUCGGGCGUAUGAUCCUGGUCUUUUACUGUGAAAAAAUUAGAGUGUUUAAAGCAGGCCUUCGCCUUGAAUACAUUAGCAUGGAAUAAUAAGAUAGGACUUUGGUCUAUUUUGUUGGUUUGCAGACCGAAGUAAUGAUUAAUAGGGAUAGUUGGGGGUAUUUAUAUUCCGAUGUCAGAGGUGAAAUUCUUAGAUUUUCGGAAGAUAAACUUAUGCGAAAGCAUUACCAAGGAUGUUUUCAUUA